Gallus gallus (chicken) is the source of this 21129-nucleotide long non-coding RNA. The record is from Ensembl. Lineage: Eukaryota; Metazoa; Chordata; Aves; Galliformes; Phasianidae.
UAAAUACAAAUAUUUAAUAUAAAUAUAUAAUAUAUAUCAAGAUAUCUUACAUAUAUGUAAAAUGUUUCAAACCUUCUUAUAUUUUAGGAAUAAAUCUACCCUCACCUGGCACUUUUUGUGAGCUUGCAUCCUAGACCUUUGUAUAUUCUUCCUCCUGUUCAUUUAUGUUCAUUACUGGAUUUUCUGCCUCCAGUCCUAACAGGAAAAGAGUAUACAACUAUUCUCCCAUUCUUUCUGACACAAAGUCAAAUACAGCGAUCAUUUCAUCUUAAUCAGCUCUAAGACACUAGUGACUAAAAGGAUUCCAGAGACUUUCAUUCUUCUCUCCCUGUUUUCCCUUUCUCUGAGCUUUUUGAUUGUUGCCUUGUUUCUCCUUACCCAUCUUUUAUCCCAUCUCUUUCCCUUAUUUCCUUUUGACAGUACUUUUGCUUUUUAAAACAGAUCUCUUUAAAUUCUAAGGAGGGAAGGACCUCUCUGUGGUGAAUGUGGCUCCUGUAUUAAUUCUAUUACAGUAGUUUUACUGACUGGGGUCAGUGCUUUAAUUCAUCAUCUUAGCCUUUCUUCUCUCAUGUUCAGAAGUGUGUGAGGAGGAUCUCUAGCAUUCUGCUAGAGGGUGAUAAUGCUGUAGCUUUCAGAAGAAAGGAAUUGGAAGCAAGAGUGAAAGUUAAGUACUCUCCUUAUACCUGACCAGCACCAGAAGAUCUUAUAACUGGUGUUAAAUCUCAUGUUCUUUACCUACAAGUAGCAAUGUCAGUUUAUCACGGUUUUGUCUUGGGCAAAUGAAUUUCUGGCUUACAGUACAAAGUAAUAAGCAUAUUUGGUUAUUUCAUUGUGUUCUUGUCAUCAUUAAUAAAGAAAUUUUCUGUAUUAUGUGUCCACAGCAAUUUUUCUUAUCCAAGAGAUUUGUUUUUCCUCUUUAUUUUCUUGAUGACAAGCUUAGAAACUGGCAUAAGGUGACAAAACAUUUAAAAAACAAACCCACAAACUUGUGUAAUCAUAGGUUGAGCAUAUCAUUUCAAUAAAUAUCUCACUCUGACUCACAUUUUAUAUUAAUUGUUUAAAUCUGUUUUAUUUCUGGUGCUGAAAUACGCUUGGACUGAGUUCAAAAUAUUUCCCAAAGUUUAUGUGCCCAUCAUCUAAAAUUAGUGGCUUGAAUACAUUCCUAUGGCCAUUAAUUGCAGUCUGGUCUAAUAACCUUUAUUCAUAUUGAUGGGAUCUAUUCCUGAGUGGUAAGAACUCAACUGAGCAGUGAUUAAUUACAUAUAGUACAGUUUAAAAUGACAAACAUACUUUCAAAACCCAGGAAAACAAAGCCAAAAUCUAUUUAAAGGAAAUGAGAUUAUUUGGAGUGGGCUACUGGAUCCACUAAUGUCAGCAGGAGUUUUGUCAUUCAUAUCAGAGGAACCUUUCCAGAUGCCUGGCUAGUUAUUCAGGCUUUAGAUUUGUCUGAAUGCAAAAUAGAAGUGGGAUGGUUUUUUUGUUUACCAAUACAAUUACAUUGCAUUGGUAUGCACUGUAAUUAUAUUAAAUAAAUACAUAAGGGUUGUUUAUGACUACGUACUGAAGCAUAAAUUUGAGGAUGUCUGCAAUAAAAUCAGUUCUAUUUGCUACAAGAAAAUUUAAUUUUCUGGACAUUCAUUGUAUCAACAGAAAAAUAAAGAAGGAACAAUCCCUAAAAUGUCUAUGCCCGUGCCCUUUUUCUUGGUCUUAAUGUAAGACAUUGUAUUUAGGUAAUCCUACAACAGAAGAAAACAGUUUGCUGUUGAUAUGCUAUUACUUUCAAAAAUGGCAUUCUAGGACUUUGGGUUCUCUGAGCUAAGUAAGAGAAUGUUUCAAGUGCAAGAGAAAAUCAGUCUACAAAUGACUACUUCAUAUUGAAAUAUGCAGUUCACAUAGUCAUACAGAAAACAGGGAGAUCAUCAUUAUUAAAAUCAUUCUAUACUCCAGAAAUGCCCCUAGGGCACUCCGACUGCUAAUGGAUGCACCAUUUACAAGACCAUACCAGAGCUAUUCACGAUGAAACUCCCCUGAAUUUUGUGAGUGUUUAGGUCCUCUGUAUCAAAUAUUCUGAAUUACAGAUCCAUUUAUUUUACACCACAUUAGUUACAAGUGAAGAUACUGUUUGUGAAGUCAACAUUAGGAGGAAAAAUUUCACCAAGAAAGGCUGGAAUGACUAGGGGAUAAAAUGAAGCUUUUGUUUUUAAGAAGUAGCUGAAUCUGAGCUGUAGGACAGGGACUUGAUGAAAACUUCCUAAUCCUCAAACUAUUAUUAUGUCACAAGUGAACUAAUCACAAGCAAACUACAAAUCAAAUAUCAAACCAACCAACCAACCAAAAAAACAAAACAAAACAAACAAACAAACAAAAAAACCAAAACAAACAAACAAAAAAAAACCCACCCAAAAAACCUCAACUAGAAUGUCAACAGGGAGUCAUUUCCCUGUUUUAACUCUAUUUAUUCAACAAAAGCAUAACUUUAGAGAAAAAAAAACAAAACAAACAAAAACAACAACAAUAGCAACAAUACUUCCUUUAGGGAAGUCUUUGGAAUAGGGAGAGUUUAUCCUUGUUCAACAGUGGAAAAUGUUUAGCCAUGUCGCACAGAGAAAUAAAAUGAAUGAGUACUGCUAAAACGUGGGUAGUUUAGCAACACAGAAAAGUCCUUUUGGGUCACAAGCUGAUAUAUUCCUUUGAGUAUUGAUAUAAUGUGCCCAGGGAGGUACUUGAAAUGGAGACAGUAACUCUGUUUCGUGAUUCCCUAAAAUGUCAAUUUUAACCAAUAACGUUUCUUAAAAUUGGCUGCCACUACUACCUGACUUUAUAUAAGUAUUUGGGCAGUAUCCAUAGCCAUGGCAGGCCUGCUAUAUUACUUGUAGAUGGUAACAAAUGAUUUUUCAUGUUUAACAGGUUCAACUCAGACAACUUUCUUUACUUUUGGGUUUUAGGCCUGUUAAUCUAUUUUAAACAACAUGCUCUCCUUGGAUAUUGUAGAAAUGUUUUUCCUGUUUAGACAAAUUGGCAGUAAGUCUCUUGUUAUUAGAAACAGAUUUCGUGCAGUCUGCUUCCAAGUGCUUCACCUCUGCUGCUCCUUCAUGGUCAUUCUCUGCCCUGCUUCAUGUGGGGUCUCACAUCUUGAACUGAUGCCCAUGGCCUUCCCACAGGAUGCAGCUCUCCCAGCACUGCCAGCUCAGUAGCAUGGGUACCAAAACAUCACCAAGAAAACCGACUACAUUAAGAUAGGCAGUUUUAGAAUCUUUAUAGACUGUUGUAUGAAUAUGCAUGUCAAAUGCACAUGUUCUUAGUGUGAUUUUACUUUAACUUCUUUAGUAACAUGACUUCAUUCUGUAAUAGACUUUUUAUGAGUUUUAUAUUUUAUCUAAAUUAAGACCUCCCAUUUCCCCCGUAGCAAAGAAAGAAGAAAGUUUGAAUUAUUUUAUGCUACCAUUUUGCUAAUACAUAUAAGUAUAUAUAAAUAUUUCUUUCAAGUGAUACUUAAAUUUAUAAAGCAUCCAAAAGUUAGAUUAAAGAUAUCUCAAAAAACUUUUUUCCCCUUUGAUAAAGAAAUGCCCCGUAAACAAUCUUUUCCAUCUGACCUAAACUGUUGUUCUAACUUCCUGCUUCUUUGUGCUUGUUAGCCUUACUCUAUAGUUUGGCUAGUGAAGUGAGAAAUUAAUUAUUUGCACAGCCUAGGGGUGAGUGGACAACAUAGUUCUGGUUUCAUCUUUGGAUGCUGUAAAAGAAGAGUGAAAAGCUGUGUUUUAUUUUGUUCAUUUAAAUUUUUCCCUUAAUAAAUCUAGUCAGGCAUGCCUUGCCAAAGAGUUUCCAAGAGUGUGGAUUGGAGAGACCCAGUUAGGAUCCAUCAGUAAAUUAUUUUGCCUGUCAUUUCAUUUGCUGUUAGAAACACCCAAUAACUUUUUCUCUUUUUAAUGUUUUCUGGCAAAACACCACCUCAUCUCCUUUUUUUUUUUUUUUUUUUUUUUUUUUUUUUUUUUUUUAAUAUUUUUCACAGGCUGUGUCAUGCCUUUGUGGGUUAGGACAUUGUAUGACUCAUGGUUUUGUGUCCUUCCCUUGACUACAGGUGCAGGUAGCCGGUAUUUGAGUGUAUUUCACACUUUCUGAACUGUCCUCUCAGACACCAUUAGAUUUGACAAGAUUUAAAAUGCUUGUCACCAAAAAUUAAUAUACUCAAUGUUUGUUUGUUUGUUUUCCAAAAAUGUAUUUGAGGUGUUUUAAAUUUGGAUGUCUAACUUCAGUCAUGCUAGAGGGAACUUAUUUUCUGAAGAGAAAUAAUAUCACAGAUAUUUGCACUUCUACAAUUUCUUAUUUGUACUGUCUUAAAUGCUAUCACAUGGUUGCUGCCAGGACUCAGUACUUGUAAAUCUAUUCUGACAGUCUUUGAUUAGAUGAUUUCUGUUUCCAUCUGUUUUUUCAGUUCCACAGCUUUUGUUAUUUUUUUUCUUUCUUUCUCUCUUAUAUGCCUCCAUCAUACUCCAAUUACUGCUAUAUAAUUAUUAAUUAUAUCUAGCUGUUAUUUUGGCUACUGAUCACCUGCAAUCCAAUUUGCAAUCAAAUAUGUGUUAAAUGUAUUGUGUUUUGUUUUGUUUUGUUUUGUUUUCCUGGAAGUUCCUGGUGCCACCUAUUGGUUUAAAUAUCGAAAUGCAACUGUAGUAAAUAGCAUAAAAGCAAAGACGACUGCAGAAAUAAGCAUUUAAGCCAAGCAUUAAUUAAUUAAUUUAUAAAAGUCAUAUGUAUAUGCAUUUCUGUUACACAUAGGUACCAAUACUAACUUGAAAUAUGCAUCAAUAAUAUGCAUAAUACUAAAGAUAAUGCAAAUUCUCAGUUCUUGUAACUUUAUAAAGUUUACAGUGUUUUCUGAAUUUAAAAGAAUCAAAUAAAGAUCAACACUCCUUCAUAACUGAAAACAUCACUGAUAAAGCAUUGUAAAGGUGGUGUGACAGCUUUUGAUUGUUUCUGUUAAUUUGGCAUUUUAUUAAGGAAUAUGUAUGAAUUUUAAACACGUCUCUUAAUGGCAGUUUUGUAGACUUAUUUCACUAUGAGAUAUAACCCCCAUCUUAAUUGGUGAUUAGAAAUAGACUUUUUAAUGUGGAUAGAAACAUAAUAUAGACAUUUUUUCUCUGUAGUAUGUUGUCUUAUUGGAUAGAUAUAUUUUGUUGCAGAAUGAUACUUCAUUUCUAAUUUACUUAAGGAAUGUAACUUCAGGUACUUUACCAACCAGGUCAAAAUAGAAAACUACUCACGGCUCUGUUGUAGUACAUUUCUGAGCACAGAGAAUGUAGAAAUAGUGAAUUUGAAGAGCUGCAAAUAUAGGGUCAGAAACGGAGCUAGUCCAUUCACUCUGAUACAAGAUCGGGGUUGAAUGCAAGAAAACAAUGAGUCAGUCUGAAGUGGCUAUUCUGGAUGCAUAAAAAAGCCUGAAAUAUUCAUGUACCCUAAAGAAGCCAUAAUUCCGCAGGCAACGUCCCAUGGCAAAACAAGUUUUAGAUUUACAAAAAAAGCUGUUUCCAGACUGCUAAAUGAUUUCCUGCCUCAAGUUUUUAUUAGUUAUCAGAGUGAUACAUGGUUUGUUUAAUGAAGCUGAAACACUUUUUUUUUUUUUUUUUCAAGAGAUCGCAUUUAAAAGUUAAGCUGAACAAGAGGUGUUAUUAGAAGUCUGAAAUGAAGUACUACAUGAGUUGUUGCUUCUCCAGAAAAUCUGAAAGCAGAGCAAAGUUUGGAAAGCCUUACUCUUUUAUCUUUUUUGAUUACUUUUCCUAUUCUCAUUGUUUUCUAAGACUGGAAAAUCACUGGACAUUCAGCUCAACUCAAUAAAUAGUUGUCUCUAACUGUUUGAUCUCCCAUAGUUUACAGAUAAGAAGAAUACAGCCAUGACAGAGUUACGUUUAGAGUUUCAAAGCUAUGGUAACAUAGCCUUAGGAAACGGUGAGACAACCUUAAGCUUGCUUCUAACUUUUUGGAUGACUUUAGACACGUUAUUGUGUUCUCAGUGCAGAUCUUUAUUUCUAGCCAUGCAUUUUUGAAGAUGCAUGUUCUCAAAUACUGUGUUCCACACAGUGGGCUAUCUCAGAGACUACAGAGUGAGUAGUGAUAAUGCACAGUCUUUACAUCAGCAGUAUUGCAUAAUUGUAAAAGGUUAGAUUACAAAAUAGUGCUACAACUACCUAGAAAAAUGAUGUAUGAUUCUGACCUAUUCUUGACUUAGGCUUUUUUUUUUUUUUUUUUUUUCUGGGAGUAUUCCUUGUAAUCAUCACCCUGUUAUCUCAGCACCUGAACUGCUCAAUUUUAAUUGCACAUUUUGUCUCUACUAUGUCUUCACAUAAUUAAUCUGGGAGAUAAAUAGUAGAUUAUGUGAAUUAUUAUUAGUUUACUCACAUAUAACAAGGGAGAUUUUAAUUCUGCUUUCCAAAAGUCAAGCAGUAACUGGUUUCCACUGUAGUAAAGUAUUCUAAAUCUGCUUUCCUUCCAAAAACUGAUUGCAUAGAUAUGUCCUCUUCUCACACAACAGAUCUGUUCCUUACAUUUUUAAAAGGCAAGUCUAUUUAUUUUAAUGUCAGAAAUAAUUUUACUUUCUUCCCUCAGAGGCAAAUAAGAAAGUCUUGUCUACUAUUCUUCUUUGAGGAGAUCCACUGAAAGUGAUUUAUAAAAGCCACUUAUACCCUAACUAAAUCACAGUGAGGCCACUCCAUGUAUACAGACUUCAUUUGGAUCACAAAAAACAAACAAAAAGAAAUUAAUACAUAAUGGGACUUAAGGAAAGGAGUUUAUGAAGGGAAACACUUAGGAAGAAGGACAAGAGGCAACAUGUCUCCUUUCUAUCCAUGUCACUAGUUUUGUAGAAUGUUUUGUGUUGAGUCGCAAGUUAUCCAGGUGAAGGCACAGUGGUGCAGCACUCCACUCUUACCAUCCGUUCUUUCAGCUGGCAGAAAACUUGACUUUUCAUGCCUGGCUCUUGAAAAGAAAACUUGUUACUGUAUGUAGUAGAGCUGAGGUGAGAAUCAUUGAGAAACUGCAAGUUGAAAGCACUGUAACACCAAUUCAGAGUGUAAGGUUUCUGACUAGAAUAACACUUUAACCUCUGUAUUUCAGUUUUUCCAUGUGUUAAAUGUGGCUCAGGAUAAUUACUUCCUUUCCUCACAGGGGUGUUGUGAGAAUUAAUUAGUUAACAUUUGUAUGGAUCUUCCUAGAUACAAAGUGUUAUAUGUGUGCUAAUUAGUUUGAUUAUUAUUAGCAGUGUGUCAUUUGCACUGUCAGGAAACCCAUACAUUAAUAAUCCAGAAUAACAGCUCAGAUUUAUAUAUUACAUUUUAGCUAACAGAUUAGAAAUGCCUCUCUUAAAAGAAACAGUAGAAGAAAUAAAGGUAUGCAUUGUGUAGCUAAAUAGGUUUGUCACCCAAGAGUGCCAUUUUAAUCUCAUAAACAUUAACAAAAUACUGCUGUAGUGGGUUUUAAUUCUCAAAGCAAUCAUGAAAACUAUUUUACCACAUAGGUGUUCUGGACACUGGAUCUUCAAUUACAGGGAAAAUUUAAAAGUGUGUAGAAAGAUGGCCUUUGGAUGAGAGGUAGCAUCCCACUAGAUAUGAAUAUAUCCAUAAUCAGGCUCUUAGAAUUGGCUAUAAUUAAGCAGUUGGCAGUAAAUCUCUCUGUAUAUGUUUCCAGUAGUGUCAUUCAUAAGGCUUGAGGCUAAAGCUAAUUCAUAUUGGCCUUAUGUACUAAGAAAAGCAAGAAUUCACUGGAAGUAUGCCCCAGGGUGGCACUUCUGUGUUAUAGGAGAAAGAACGUAUUAAAAGAAAAAGAAUGAGCUUUCAUGAGAACUGUAACAUAGGAAAACUCAUUUCCUAGAGAUGUGUCUGGAAGUCAUUCACACUGCCUUUCAAAGACCAGAACAAUAUUAUUAGAUAUACUAAGGGGGAAAAAAAAAAAGAAAAAAAAGAAAAAAAAAAGAGAAGUACCCUGUAUAAAUCACUCCAAAAAGCAAGUCUGACAAAUGAAGCUCUUAUAAUAGGUGAUGGUCCCUGUACUACCCUUUUUCGUUAAAUUUUCAUAAUCAGAAGUAACUGCAACUCAUUCCUCUCUUUGCUCUCUCUGGACUUCCCAGGCCUUUAUUCGUUUCCCUUUCCUAUUAUCAUCCUCUCUAUGUAACCUUUCUAUUUAUUCCAUUUUAUCCUUAUCGUGUCUUGAUUAAUUCCCUUCUCUUCCCACACAUCAUAAAUAAGAUGCUUCUCUUUCUGUAAUAACACUGUAUGUCAUGAAACACUAACGUCACAGUGAGCUAUGCUUUUAUAUGUUGAAAGCAGUGAGUUACAUGACAAGAACAUUGCAACCAUAAACCCUCUGGAGUUGGGAAUAUAAUUCCUCUCCUAGUUAUGUGCCUAAACUGUCUCCAAUUUCAGGUUGGUGGAUGAUGGUUUGGUGAUGAUCCAGCAGUGUGUCGCGGUGGCCAAGAAGGCCAAUGUGAUUUUGGGUUCAUUAGAAGGAGUGUGGCCAGCAGGCCAAGGAAGGUGAUCCUCCCCCUCUUCUCUGCCCUGGUCAGGCCUCACCUGGAGUACUGUAGCCAGUUCUGGGCUCCCAGGUAGAAGAAAGACAGGGAUCUUCUGGAGAGAGUCCAGCAGAGGACCACAAAGAUGAUAGAAAGCCUGAAGAAUCUCCCCUAUGAGUGACGUGGCUCUGUUCAGCCUUGAGAAAAUAAGUAUGAGAGGUGAUCUUACUAAUGUUUAUAAAUAUAUUAAGUGCGGGAAUCAAAGAGACAUGGUCAACCUGUUUUCAGUGGUUUGAGGGGAUAGGACAGUGAAACGGCCAUAAACUGGAGCAUAGGAAGUUCUGCACCAAUAUGCGAAGGAACUUCUUCACAGUAAGGGUAACAGGAUACUGGAACAGGAUGCCCAGGGAGGUUGUGGAUUUUCCUUCUCUGGAGAUAUUCAUGACUUUCCUGGAUGCCUACCUGUGCAGUCUGCUGUAGGGAACCUGCUUUGCAGGCUUGAUGAUCUCUGGAGUUCCCUUCCAACCCCUAAAAUUCCAUGAGUCUGUGAUUUAGUUAGGGUAACCCAUGCUUAAGGAUCAUGUGCAUGUUAUGGCAUUUGGUGAAACAGCACUUCCCUGAUAAGUUCACAUCAAUCAAAUCUUUUAAAUUCCUAGCAAGUUUGAAGACUAAUAAAAGGCAACUAAGUAGUAAGAAAGCCUUUUUGGAUAGGAAGAUUUCUUUCCAAUAAUUCAGCUAAUCUGUUAUUACACAAAAUGCUUACCCUCUAAGGUAUGAUCCUUAUUUCAUAAAUUGUGCCAUCAACUGCACCAUCACUUAACUCCAGUUCAUGAAUUGCCCUUUUGAAAAUGAGGAGGAAGGACUGAAAAGGAAUUGGUGACUUCUGUGAGUUCUAUUAAUAAAGCUGAUUUAUAUCAGUCAUUCAAUUCUAACAUACUUAAUCAUCUGCAAUGUGAUACAGUGCAGUGAUCGUGGUGAAAAUUCAUCAGCUAAAGGUGACUGUUGGCAUCCAUAGUGUAGGCAGCAAAUAGCUGUGGAAGCAAGGGACUGGCUAGGUUGACUUUUCCCACUUCUUAAGAGGUCUGUGGCUGAAAUCUGACUUUUCAGUUAUUCCUUAUAAGUGCUUUGUUAAUUUCUGACAUGCUCACCAAACUUUUCUCCUUUUUGUGUUCUUGCACUUCUGCAAAGCUGGAGGAGAGGGAAAUAAAAGUAAGAGAGUGCAUGCUUGUCUAAUCAUGGAAGUUUGCAUGCAUCUAUGUAUCUAUAUCUAUAUCCAUACCUAUGUGUGUCUACCUAUAACUAGCACUAUUUAAAUUUGGCUAUCAGAGUAAAAUAUGGAAAUAUAAUUUAAUAUUCAUUUAAUAUUCACAUAGCCCAUUUGAAUAACUUUUUACUGUGGUUGCUAUUAGAAAUAUCCAGCCAUUACUCUCUCCCCUCCUGCUUAGCUGAGGACUUUGCAAUAAAUCCUUUUGCCUUUUGGCAAAAUCAGAAAAGAAUACAAUGAAAUAGCUUCUUUAAAAAUAUGAAGAGAAGUGACCUGAGGCUAGCUGCAAGUCAGUGAAAAGGAAACAAAUCAUUUUUAUAAUGGUUGAUUCUCCUGGAAGAUUUCUAGUGAGAUCUUCGUUCACGUGAGUCUUUUUCAGGAAACAUUUUUUUUUACAGUGUCAACACUCAGUUGCUGAGAUUUCUGGUUACAGUCUUUGGUGGUUUCUCUCUUUUUUUAUGUUUUUUUUUUUCUUUUCUUUUUUCUUUUUCUUUUUUUUUUUUUUUUCCCCAACUAGUGAUUCACAGUCUUUGGAAUAUUUAUUUUCCUGACUGGAUCAAGGAUAUUCAUACUAAAAAGACAUAGCUUCCCUUAUAUGAAAUCAUGGUAUAUUCAAAUGCACUGCCUAUGUCAGUAACUUAAGACAUAUUUAAACACCUUUAAAUGUCAAAUACCCAUUUUUUGUGCUGGUAUUUUAUUAGAAAAAUAACCAUCAGAUAUCCUGCCUAGUGAAAUAAGUCUAAAAGAUCCUUAUAAUUGAGAGGAGACUUCAGGGAAAUAUGUGAAUAUUUAAUGAAAAAAAAUUAGCAUUGGUACAAAAGUUAUUUAACAACAAUUGUCUUUGUGAAGAUCCUGCUCUCUACAGUGCCUCAUAGUACUCUACAAGUAUUAAGCCUCUCCUGGAAAUGUGGAGAGAAAGUAUCCUUUUAGCAUCUGAAGGAAUACAAUAAUAUAGGUGUAGCUGCACAAGACUCAUGCAUUUCAAAGUCAUCUUUUUUUUUUCUACACAACAAUUACUAGCUAUCUACUAAUCUAAAUUGCCCCAUGCUGCUUGCAUUCUUUAAUUUUGCUACAUUUUUCUGUCUUAUUUCUUGAAUAUUAGUUAAUUUUUCAGGGUUUAUGGCAGUUUCACAUAUUUUACAUGCAUUAUCUUUUUUUUUUUUUUUUUUUUUUUUUUUUUUUUUUUAAGAAGUGCAUAUUAGUAUCUCGUGAUUUAGAUCCUAGAGAACAAUUUAAUAUAUUUUUAUAGGACUGCUACAGGAACUUCACUAUUUUUUAAUUGGACUGUUGGAAAUAGCUCACUUGGCAUCCUUAUGUCUUUGGUCCCAGGCAUGCACUAUAAUUUCAAGACCAGAAAGGCUGAUUUCUUAUUCUGCAGAUUUCUACAUAGCAGCACAGCUGUGCUGCUGAUGGGACUGACCUUUGCUCACUAGUUAUUGAAUAUACAAAUGUUUUCUAAAGCCGUUGUGUAGCAAAAUUAUAAGCUGUUGUUUUUCUCUCAUGUACAUAAAUCACUUGUUCUAACAGAUAGGUUAGUUGCAUUUGAACCCUCAUCUGUAUUGAUUUGUAUUAUAUUAAUCCAUGGGUAACAGGGAAUGCUGCCAGAAGCAGGGAUUUAAUUUAAAACCAGAGAUGACCUAACAAUCAUGAAUUCCCAAAAUAAGGGAAAGUACAGAAAUAUGAAAAGAAAAUGUUAUCUUGUCAGUGCUUAAUCUUCUCAUAGCUACAUCAGUGAGAAGAUAAAUACUUUGAUGUUAUUACCGUUACAGUGGAUAAUAAUAUUCUUUUUUAUAUUUUCUUACUUUGUUUAGGGAUCCAAAAUCUUGAGGAAUACGCAGACAAUAAUUUAAAAAAAGCAGAUGACUUCAAAAUUAAGAAAACUAGACUUCUAGUUCUUCCAAACAUAAUGAAUACAGAAACUUUAUAAAUUGAUCUGUCUUCUGUUUCAAAGAACAGUCUUGCUUACUGUUUCUUUUGCCAGGGAACUGGACAUUAACGAAUUCGUUUUGUAAGCAACAGAUGGACAGUGAGGGGAAAAAGAAAAGAGAGAAGUUUAAAAAAGGUUAAAAAUCAAAACAAACGGCAUUUUCAUGCCUGCCUCAAAAUGCCAGUCAGGCCUUCUGUAGAAACUAUGGCCAUGCACAAUACUGUGCUUCGCUGCAAUUGGUUUAUACCCGCUUGUACAACAAAUGGUACACAAAUAAUGAAAUUACAUAAUGGAAAGUCUUCUAGAACUGGAGUGCACAAUCUAUCUUCUCAUCACCUCCUUUUGAGAAAUGUAUCUUUAACUUUGACCCUUUCAGGAAGGUAGGAUAAAAAAAAAGUUAUUUUACAAAAUACAAACAAAUGAGUCAGACUAGAGCAGGAAUUUGACAUUUUAGUACAAGAUACAAUAAAAAUGACUAAGCAGAACUGAUUAGUGUAGCAUUUAUCCUGACUUUUGUAUUUGGUAGGAUUUCAGCCUGAAUUAAAAGAAAUUCUCCACUUUUUCCUCCUCUGUUGGUGAGUUAUAAUAUAUUGCUCUUUCAACACAUUACUGUUUUAUUCUCAUUGUUUCAAAAAAACUGCUUCUAUUCUUUUCCAGAUAACACAUAUCUGGAAUUUCUUCACAGUUAAGGACAUCUUAAGAGUAACAUUUAAAUGCUUGUAAGCUAGAAUCAACUCCUUCCUUCUAACUGCCAAGUUUUUCAAGAAGGGAGUUCCAAUAUAAUGAAUCAAAUACAACUAUCCAGUAUAUCACGCAAAGAUGCUAUGAGACAGUUAAAGACUGAUAAAGACGUAUAUAUAUGCUUACAAACCGAUCCAUAUUUAGGCUUAGAGAACCUGAGUCAAAAGCAAGUACAUUGAGCUGAACAGAUAAAGGUCAACUCUUGGCCUCGUAGAUACUGUUAAUAAAACUAUCACUUAAGUAUCAAUUAUUCAGCAUCAUUAUUUAGGCUGUGAUACAUUACAGGCAAAGCUACUUGAAGACAUGCUAUGUCCAGAAGGUGAUUCUACUCCACACCUUUCUGCCAUGUUUUUUUUUUUUUUUUGUGUGUAAGUACUGUGGAACAUACAGUAACAUGGUGAGCUGUACUGACUGCAAACAUUUACAAAAUAACAUUAUUGUUCAGUUGCAUCAGGAAUUCCUCAGAAGACAUAUUAUUUAUAAUCACAGUAGAAGGGAUGUAGGAGCAUGUGCCUGGGGGCUAUUUUGACACCAAUAUGUCCAAGAUUAACUUUAAAUGUCUUACAACAAGAGAAACAAUAUGUAUGUUGGAUGUGCAUACAAGAAUAACUGCUAAUUGUCUUUUUGGGCUUCCUUAAAUAAUGUGUUUGUAAAUAAAAUUUUACAGCAGCCCACAGGAUGCUGUUCCAAUGCACUGUCCUGGGAUACGAACUGGUAUGUGCAAAAGUUACAGCAACCACAUCUCACUUCAAAGCCAGCAAAAAGUUGACUCAUCAUGAUCCUUUUUUUUCUACACAGAACUGAGAGAUUUUGAGGAAUACUUAAAAAAAGAAUACCACUUUAAUUUGUCAGUUCACAUUUCUAACCAUUCACACACCUUCAAAGCUUAGUUAUUCUUUCACUUAAGGCAUGCAGUUGUGCUGGAAUAUGCUUCAUAAAUCUAUGUUAUUGAUACUCUGGAUUUUAACUUAACAGGGACUGUCCAUGUUGCAUACAUAUGCAAAAGUUUAGUCAAGUAUAUGUGCUUUAAAUCUUCUGCCCCUUUCCUCCCUCCUUAAAUACUAAAUAUUUUUUGUCUUGUUCAGGUACUAAUGAUGUUAUAAAAUACAGACAGAAAAAUUAAAUAGCAUUUAGUGUUGAUGGAAUUUGUGAUAAUUGUUUGAACUUCAGUGAUUAUUUUGAUCCUAAUCAAAAUGAUUCGAUUUAUUUAUUUAUUUAUUUUCAAGGAAAUUUCUUCAGAUCAUGUUGGCUUAAUUUUUUUUUUCAUUAUCAUUUCUCAUCCCUAAUGAAUACUUAAUGAUGCUCAAGUUAUAUCCACAGCUUUUGUGAUAACUCACAAUAUUUCAGAGUCCAUCCCAGAAUGAAAGAACCAAUUCUCAUGCUGUGCUUUGUUUCCUUGGCUUGUGUGAGUUUACUGGGUAGAUGAGAGUUCAGCAUAUGUUCCUUAGAAUACUUAGAAUGUUUCUGAUUAAAUAAAUUUAAAAUGUAAUUUAAGUUAUUAUUUAGCAUGCCCUCUAGAAAGAAAAUACAUGGAGGUGUUUUAUAAAAGAACACCUGAAUGAUGCUGUGUGCUCUUCUGAGCAGCCUUUGACCAAAGAGAGAAUGUGAAACAAAGAUAAGAAAGUUUACUUAACACCACACUCUUAUGUAUUUGUACUGACUUACCUGAAGGAAGGCACAGGACUUGUUCCCUUUAUGAUCCACAAAAGGAAACAAACAAUAAUUGGGGUAAUGUUUGUUUGCUGUCUCCUACUGAAAUACUCACAAGGACCAGGACACAAGGGGGGCUCUUGUACUACAUUGGAAGUAGUACAGUAGUGUCAGAUAAGCUUUCCUCACUGCUGCACACUGCUGGAGCCCAAAUAGUGAAUAAUAUGAGCAGAUAUUUAGUCAACUACUACUACUUGACAUACCUUUCUUCCAUAUUGUAAUAUUUGUUGCCCAUGCCCUGGAGUAAUUGUCCUACUGUAUUUUUAAUAAUCACUUCAUUCUUGCUAUACCCAUGAAAUAUUGUCUUUAGACAAAAAGUUCACCCUGGAGGUAGCAUACCUUUUCACUUUCUGCAGUUCAAAGGAGAGUGCCUUUGGCCUUGCCACUGUUUGAAAAUUUAAUUUUUGUAAUUUCCUCAUUGCCAGCAAUAAAAGUAACAGUGGGACUGACUUCUAUACAGACGAGUUUCAUCAUAUAUCUUUUUAUCACAGCUAAGAAAUGACUGAAACACAGGGCUCUAGCUCUGCUAAUGGUAUAUUGGUGUGUGGUUGCUAUGCUGCUGUUGCUGCUGUAAGAUGGAUAUUAUUUCUUCUUAGCAAAUUGGCAUAAGUGACUUCCCCCUACUCCCCCUCUUCUCCACUGCUAACAGAUGGAACAACAGUCUUCCCAUACUCAGUAGGAGAUAUGGGAAUUAGUAGAAGUCAUCUAGCUGUGUCAUCAGGGAAUGUGUUGUUGAUGCUUGAACUAGCAGAUCGGUAUUUUUGCUGUUCUGAGUUUGUAACUAGCACUUCUUUUGCCAGAGGCUGUUUUUGUGUUUGUUGUUGAAAAUAUAAAUUCCUUCCCUCCUCCCAGUCUCCUAGACCAGCAGUAGAAGCUUUCGUAGGCUGCUGACAAACCUUUCAUGGAAAUCUUCUGGAGGAGGAAAUGCUGCACUAUCUCAUGGAUAAAACUUUAAAAUUCAACAUAGUCUUUACUGUUUACAAUGCCCAAAUGGAAUGUGGAAAGAAAACAGAGUACUUGCCCACAGAACCCUAAGAUUAUUUAAUUAUUUGAACCUAGAAGUGCAUGAAUAAAUGCUGUCCCAUCAGAUUUCUUUGCUGGUUGAAUUCUAGACUACUCAUGAGUGUAAAGAUUCUUGUAUUUGCAGCUGUUUGAUGAGUUCAAACACUAGCCCUGUAUGCAGUUUACAGUUUACCAGAUGUACAUAAUAGAGAGACAACAAAAAUUAUCUUAUUUUGAUGACUUUAUUUUUUCUCUUUUAGUUCUGUGAAUUCUGUACAGCUCUGAACAUGAUUUACAGUUGCAGCCUUGUCAGAAGUUAAAAGAACUUCAUACCUUCAUUUGUUCUCACUGAACUUAGAUUUUAUGUGAUGUAAGAUUUGUAAUGGUGUUGUGCGUUGAAAUGGAAGUGCAAAGAGAUUCCUUAGGAUGCAAUUCGUUUGCAGCUCACUGCCUCUGAUUGAUAUGAAAGGCUGUUUUACACACUGUUAAUGGAUUUGGGCCAUAGCAAUAUUUUACGCUUUACAAAAAGCUGGGUUUUAGGUACAGUGGCAACUCUGGUGGCUUGCCAGAAUAACUGACCUUGGUUUAUCAGUGGGAGUCAUAGAAUCAUAGAAUAGCCUGAGUAGGAAGGGACCCAUAAGGAUGAUUGAGUCAGCUCCUUGGUCCUUGCAUGACCACCCAAAUUUCAAACCUUAUGUCUGAGAGCACUGUCCAAACGCUCCUUGAACUCCGGCCCUGGGCAGCCUGAUCCAUGCCCACUACCCUCUGGUGCAGCCUAGAAGCCUUCCCUAACACCCAGCUGCCCCUCCCCUGACAGCUCCAUGCUGUUCCCUUGGGCCCUGUUGCUGUCACAGAGAGCAGAGCUCAGUGCUGCCCCUCGUCUCCCUGUGAGGAGCUGCAGCUGCCAUGAGACCUCCCCUCAGCUCCUCUGCUCUGCGCUGAGCACACCAAAGAACCUCAGCCAUUUCUUUUGUCUUCCUAUCUAGACCCUUUUCCAUCUUUGUAGUGUAUGAGUCUCUAUGAUGUCAGCCUUCAAGACCAUAGCAUUCAUGGUGAAAUGGUAGAAGUGAAGUUUUUUUUAUCGAGAAGUCCUUUGAGUAAUACAGGACAGAUGGAUGAACUCAGCUGUUUUGAUAGUCAGUCCAGUAAAAGUGGUAAAAUGCAGAGAAGGCUGACUGGCAGUUGGAGGUUGGAAAUCAAGGAUAUUCUUUUGGGUGGGUACCUUUGUAGUUAUUCAUUCAUAACUCACUGCAGGACAUUUCACAUAAGAUGCUGUGAAAACAUAGACUUUCUGCCAAAUGUUUGGAUUUUGGACAGAGAUCUCACUUGCUUACACUGAUAAUAGUAUAAACAUUACAUGGGGGCAGGAAAAAACACAGAAACAAACAAUUUUAUAUUGUUAAAAGGAGGUCCAAAAUAUCUUGGCAGUGACCAGUUUGUUAUUUACUGCCUCAGGUUUCCUUGCCAGCAUUUAAAUUAAAAUGGACUAGAAUCAAAUCACUUCUAUCAGUACCUUGCUCUAACCUUUGGUUAAGCAGAUCAUUUUCAGCUUGUUAGAAUGUUUAAUCUAUAACAAAACUGCAUCACACUAUCACUCCUUGGCACAUUUGUUUGACUGGUGAAUAGGAUCCUACCCAGGAUCAUUUUCCUGCACAGCUACAGAAUUUUAAUUCCAUGGUCUCUUUAUAAGCCACUUGAUGCUGUCAUCUGCCUAGUUUGCAAAACAUUUUUUCUCCUUCUGAGAAAUGUGAUUUAUUAUAUUAUUACCCAAAGAGAAUGUCAUUUCAGUAGUGCCAAAUGUGCACCAUUCAAGAGAAAAAGACAUUCAAAGAGAAAAGAUCUUCACCGUUACAGUGAGGCUCUAUGAGUCUGUGGUCUGUGAAGACAUAUUUCAUUCAGUUCUAAAACCUCCUCUCCAAAUAGUUCAAGAUUGUCUAUUUGUGUUAAUUUCUUUUGCUUAGCACUGGUGACAUAUUUGUCAGUACUCAAUGACCACACUUUCACAGAAUGAUGACUACGGACAAAGCCAACAACAAAAAAAACUCACAGACUUUUCUAGAGUAGCCUCUCCUACUUUCUGUGACAUGUCAUAAUUUCAUCUCUGUUUUUAGAACUUGCAGCAUGCAUCAGAAAUGUUGAUGGUUCUUUUUAAAUUUCAUAUGAAAAUCAAGAGAGAUAUUAACUGAAUUUCUUACAAAAUAGAGAGUUGACAGAUCCCAGUUCUAUGAAGUGAGGAAUCCAGUGAGUUAUAUUUGUUACACUUAGACAGCUCACAGUCAAAGACAAGUGGUAAUAACAAGAAGUCAUAUUUGUUCACAAGAGAAUAUUGCAUGCUAUGAAUGCACAUCCAAAUAUUAACUAAGUUGCAUUUUCUAUUUGUUUUAAUAUGUCUAUUUGUGAAUGGCAGCCAUAAAGAUAGAAAUGCUAGGUUUUUUUUUGUUUGUUUGUUUUUUUAAAUGAGUACUCUCAGAGCUGUAAACUCUUACUUAAGAAAAGAAUUGUCUAGAGAAGAGAUUUCUUUCAGUAGAUGAGUGUUAUUAAGAAGUAUUUCCUGACCUGAAACUACCUCUUGGGGAAGAAAAGCAGUAGGCUGAUAAGCACAUUUCUUAAUUCUCAAGAAUUCCACUUUGUGUAUAAAGUAAGAGAGAAUCCCAGGACAGAUGUGAAAAGGCUGACGUGGAGAUGAUAUGUCAAACUUAACUGGCUUUGAAAAAAGGGUUAAAUAACCUUGGUUCAACCAAAGCGAAGGGUUAAGAGACUGACAACCUCAUCAGUUAAGAAAAUACCAAAAGUAUCCUCUCAAGAUUACUGUGACUAUAGCUAUAUAAUCUAUCCUUUUCUGUUCUUUCAGGUUCCUUCUCAGCAGAUGAUAGAUUGGGAAGCAAAACCCAGUGGCUCUCUCUGUUCUAGCUUCUGCAGUUCAAAUGUCCUGCUGCUUCCAUACUUGAUUAUGGAUUUGAUGUGUAUUUAGGGGCAGUAUUUAGUUCAGAAAAUUUAUGUUAUUAAACUGUUGGCAUGAUUUAUGUAUGAAUUAGACAUCUGUUCAUAGUUCUGUCAGUCGUCUCACAAGAAGAGCCUUCCUAAGACAUUUAAUGAUGAAGAAAACAGAAUGCAGUGUAGAAAAUUCUACUGAGCAGCUUAUGUUGCAUCCAUAUGACAAUUUUAUCAAACCCUAUUAAUUUUUUUUUUUUUUUUUAAUUCAGGUUAGCAAUCUUUGUGGAAGAGGCAAUAAUCAAAGGCAAAUGCAUCCAAUUUGUUAGAGCAUCAUACUUUCAAUUUUAUCGUUGGGAAGAUGGUUUUUGUUCCUUUAUAAAGUAGCUUUUAGCAUCAUGGGCACAGGUGUUUUUUGUUAUUGUUGUUUAGUUUUGUUUAUAUAUAUAUAUGUAUGCGGAUGAUUGCUAACUAAAAUCAUUGCCAUAUUAUUGUACAAAGAUAUUACUAAAUUUUGAUAACUAGAAUAUGCCUCUAGUGAGGAAAGAUCUAUUCCUAACACCACAUGGAUUUUUUAAAUUCCCUGUUUCAUGUUGUGUCCUACCUAUAUAUAUAUGCAAGUUUUAAAAUUUAAAGUGUUCAAAUAUAACUUUUCAGUAUAUUUCACUGGAAAAAAGAGUUUUGCUUUAAAAAUCCUUCAGCUUAAGUUUUUGUUUUGCAUGCAUAUAUUUCCCCACUGCAAUUCCUUUUCUGUUUUCAUCAAUGUUGUAUGAGAGAAGAAAGGAAAAGGAUACAGGGAAUACUUUUAUCAACGACUCCACAUCUUGACAAGGAGUACAUAUUAGAGAAAGCAGCAAACAUACUGUUAGGUAUGAAGCAACAGUAAGACAUAUACUUUCUGCUCCAGUCCUUUCAGUUUUGUUCCAAGAUAUUAUUAUAACAGUCUCAAAUAUACGUACUUUCAGUUUAAGAAAUAAGGGAUUAUUUCAGAAAAUAUCUCAGCUUGAUUCCCUCACUAUUGUAGUUUAUCCCAAGGGGAAACAAUUAGAUGCAUUCACUCAUGUACUUUGUCUGAUAAUCGCUAUAGCAGUUAAAUUUCAGCAGCAUUUCUUAUCUAGUUCUAUUAUCAUUAAUUCUAUUUUAUUUAAAAUGUUAAUAUCUGGGUUAAAAUCUUCCACAGGCAUAUUCUGAUACAUCUAUCCUCCCUGAAAAGUAUGAGCAAAAAUAUGUUUAUUAAAACAAAUUCAAAAACUACUUUUCUGCUAUAUAUCUAACUUGAAAUAUUUUAAAAGUAAGAGAAGCAAGAACACAGCUGGGGGUAGAAAGUGAAAAGUGAGCCAGAAAAUAAUCUUGACUGAGAAGUAUUUUUGAACAGUUCUGUUGGUAAUCAAAUUUUGUUUCACUUAGUGAAUUUAUGAAAACAAAUACAAGCCACAUCCCCGACAAACAUGUACAGAUCUCACACCAUAAAAUGAAGAACUCUUGUUUACUGCUGAUGAAAAUAUAUAGUUACUGUUGAUGGUAGUGUUGAAAAAUAGUUUUUAUGUAGCUGAGAAUUUGCUCUAUCAAAUAGUGUUGUAUUCUUUGUUGUAGUUAUCACGGGAAUAAAUAGGAGGCAUUACUUUUGGGGAGACCUACAUAAAUUGAACUGGGCAGAAUAUCACAAACCAGAGAUCUUUAUGUUUCUCUGAACAUGAUAGGUUCUAAUGGCAUAAAAUUAAGUUUUUUCUUUUACUUUUUUCAAAUGCUCACCCCACUGUUAACACACAGGACACACUGAAGAGAUAAGAAGCAUUCAUGUCAACAUUUUCCAAAUACCUGACUCUCUUUUUUGUUUUGUUUUGUUGAAACAAAACUAUUUUUUCAAAGGAAGGGAUUACAUUAACUGUGAUCAUAAAAGACUUUAGCUAAUUUGUCUAUUUUCAGUAACGAAGACUAGGAAAAAGGAAACUAAUAAAAGUGAUGCUUUGUUGUUUAGAGAUACCAGCUGUCCUACAUGGCUACCCAAGAAGUGAUAGCAGAGGCUAAUAGAAAGGCUAAUAGGGCCCUGCAAUAGAGGAACAUGCAAUGAUAAAUGAUGGCUUGUUUCCCAUAGUUGAAGGGCAGCCUGGAAGGUUUUGGGAAAAUGUACAGAGGCUGAGGUAAAACAUCAUUUGAACAGUCUUAUGACUUUGUUUUGUUUUAUGUUGUUUUUCUCCAAAGCAUUUUUCUUCCAGUGAUAUCUUGAUUAGACAAAAAAUCUUUCUUUCUUUUUAUUGAAAUAUCUGCUCAAAAGUAGCUAAAGGCUUGCAUUUGGGUGUGAGACCAAGUGUAAGAUCAUGCACCCAAGUGCAAGGUCCUGCAUCUGAGUCAGAGCAAUUCCAAGCACAAAUACAGGCUGAGCAGAGAAUGGAGUCAGAUCAACAAUGUGGAGAAGGUUUUGAGGGUUCUGGUGGACAAAAAUUUUGACACAAGCAAGCAGAGUUGCAUUUGCAGACUGGAAGGCCAACUGUAUUCUAGGCUGUGUUUCUAUUCUGCCCUUGUAAGGCCCCAUCUGGAGUACUUCAUCCAGGCCUGGGGCCCUCAGCACAAUAAAAGCAUAGAGGAGUUGGAGCAGGUCCAGAGAAGGGCCACAGAGAUUCUCAGAGGGCUGAAGCACUUCUCCUCUGAAGACAGCUUGAGGGAGCAGAGCUUGUUCAGCCCGGAGAAGACUCUGGGGAGACCUCACUGUGGCCUUCCAGUACCUAAAAGGGGUCUACAGUAAAGAAGGAGAGAGCCUCUUUCUCGGAGAGUGUAGUGACAGGACAAGAGGUCUUGGUUUUAAACUAACGGAGGGUAAGUACAGAGGGUAAGUUUAGAUUAGACACAAUGAAUACAUUUUUUACUGCAAGGAUGGUAAGGCACUGGCACAUGCUGCCCAGAGGAACUAUGGAUGCCCUGUCCCUGGAGAUGUUCAAGGCCAGACUGGCUGGGGCCAUGGGCACCCUGAUCUAGAGGGCAGCAACCAUGUCUUAUGGCAGUUGACUGAAACUGGAUGGUCUUCAAGGUCCUUCCAAACCCCAAUCAUUAUGUGAUAAUAAG